This 583-nucleotide ribosomal RNA is filed under the name Staphylococcus sp. RNAcentral's name for it is "bacterial SSU rRNA". It matches the Rfam family "Bacterial small subunit ribosomal RNA", at positions 348 to 923 of the family's 1533-position model. The record is from RNAcentral. Lineage: Bacteria; Bacillati; Bacillota; Bacilli; Caryophanales; Staphylococcaceae.
GCAGCAGUAGGGAUCUUCCGCAAUGGACGAAAGUCUGACGGAGCAACGCCGCGUGAGUGAUGAAGGUUUUCGGAUCGUAAAACUCUGUUAUUAGGGAAGAACAAAUGCGUAAGUAACUGUGCGCAUCUUGACGGUACCUAAUCAGAAAGCCACGGCUAACUACGUGCCAGCAGCCGCGGUAAUACGUAGGUGGCAAGCGUUAUCCGGAAUUAUUGGGCGUAAAGCGCGCGUAGGCGGUUUCUUAAGUCUGAUGUGAAAGCCCACGGCUCAACCGUGGAGGGUCAUUGGAAACUGGGAAACUUGAGUACAGAAGAGGAAAGUGGAAUUCCAUGUGUAGCGGUGAAAUGCGCAGAGAUAUGGAGGAACACCAGUGGCGAAGGCGACUUUCUGGUCUGUAACUGACGCUGAUGUGCGAAAGCGUGGGGAUCAAACAGGAUUAGAUACCCUGGUAGUCCACGCCGUAAACGAUGAGUGCUAAGUGUUAGGGGGUUUCCGCCCCUUAGUGCUGCAGCUAACGCAUUAAGCACUCCGCCUGGGGAGUACGACCGCAAGGUUGAAACUCAAAGGAAUUGACGGGGCCCCC